RNAcentral lists this long non-coding RNA (2142 nucleotides) under Canis lupus familiaris (dog). RNAcentral's name for it is "lncRNA (ENSCAFG00030017476.1)". Lineage: Eukaryota; Metazoa; Chordata; Mammalia; Carnivora; Canidae. The record is from RNAcentral.
UUGGAAAAAAAAAAGGCUCAUUUCAAUAAAUUGCCAGGAAAUCCUAUUUUCCUUACCCAUUUCCACGAAUCCUCUUCUCAGCAGUGUCUCCUAAAAAUAGUAGCCGACUGCGGCUAAAGCAGAGCACUGCAGAGCAGAGGCCACUGAUGCAAAGCAGAGGGGGAUGCAUGAGGGAGGGCUGGGAUGCAGGUCUGGCUUAGGGGAAGAAACCAUCAGUAGAUCGUACCUUACGUGAAAGGUCUUGUGAUUCAAUCAAGAAAUUCCAUUUAAAAUUAGACACAUGAAACGACCCUUUAGGAUUCAUGUAUCCUUUUAUUUCUUGCAGAUACCCUUCCUUAAGCAUGGAAGACCAAAUAUACUGUGGUCUAUAAUUAUCUACCUUUCUUUCUGUUUGAACAAGACCUCGUUGCCUAGGAACUGGAGUGAUAGCUGUGAGAAACUUCUAGCAACAUAGCUUCCACCCACCGAGCAAUCCCAACAAAUGGUGUCUAGACACCACAUACCACCGAGCUGCUGCCUUGCCAGCAGUGAGGUCACACAGCGCAGCCAGUCACCAGCACAGGGGCUGAGUCGGCGGCGUCUUGGGCUUGCUAAUUGGGACAGGUGCAGAGGGUGAUGACAGCAGGCCACCCAUGGAGCUCUGGCACAGUGAGCAGAAGAAAGUAUGAUGAAGCCUGCAGCACAGCAUAGGCGGGGAUGGCUGGCAAACAAACACAGGUAGGCAAGAGACCAUCCUGGGAUGUACCAAGAAGUUGGCCACUUUUAGAAAGGGAGUUCCCUAAUCUCUAAAGCAAACGGGAGAGCCUCCAAAAUGAGAGUCUGAAAAUAUAUGCAAAUAUACACCCAUGAACCUGCUAAAGAAAAAGGUAAUUCACGCACACACAUGCACGCAUACACACUCAAUAAUCAUGGUAGAAGCUGUGGCUUUCUCUAGGGAUUAAGAGAUGCUUUUGGGCGAGACUUCUGAUAGUGGCAUUUCACUUGGAUAGACACGAAUUAGGAAUAAAAAUAUAAGAAACUUCAUCUCAUUUACCAUUUAAGGGUUGGUUAGCUGAGACUAAGAAAAUAUUAAAGGGAAAAUAGAGCAUCAGCAGAGUUCAUCCAACAUUGUAUGUAGGCAGGAAUAUUCUAGAACACCAAGAGGAAUGAGAGGAAGUCACCUGAUUCUAAAACUUUACAGUAUAUUGGAACAGGGAAAUAAUUGAAAAGCUGGGAAAUGUUCAAAGUUUUAGUGGAAAAAUAUCCAUUUUCACAUGAACUGAUGUUAAUUUUCUCUGAAAUGUAUAACAACUGAUAUCGAAUUUUAAUCCUAUAAUUGCAUGAAACAUGCAUUUCUGGUGUGAUCUGUGAUGAUUUGAGUAGGACUUUAAAAAAUAAUACACACAAAAAAAAUAAUACACAUACAAAUGUGAAACUAAUGAGAUGUAAAUACAAAAAUAAUAUGUAUAUUUUAUGCUCUGCAUUUUUUGUAGUUAGGAGCCAAUAACAAUUGCUGAUUUAAUAUAUUUAUUUGCAAUUAAAAUGUAAGUUGAGCACCAGUAGCUAUUCAUUUUCUUCCAUAUCAAAAGUUAUCAGUAAAUCAGAGAUAUUGAGAACAUUUUUAUAAAUCACUUUUCUUUAUUUCAAUAGCUUGUCCUUUGCAAUGUAUUUGUUAUCACAAAAUACCUGAUAACUAUUCUGUCUCAUUUGGUUAUUGCAAGAAUAAAAUUAAAAUAAUAUUAAGUCUCUUAAGAGCCUUGUUACAAAGAGUUUAGAGAAACGUUUCACUGUAAUUAGAAGAAGCUACAGCAAUCUACUAAAACCCCACAAAAUUUAUUUUUUAAUUGUGGAAAUCUGAAAGCUAUUUUGUUUCUAUUAUAGUUGAGAUACUUAGAUUAAACACACAAAAGUCAGAGACAAAUUAAACUUAUUUGCUAAUGUUUGGGUGUGCGUUAAGACAAACGAUGUUACCUUAUUUGACAAAAGGGAUUUCGCAAACGUGAUUAAGUCAGAGAUCUUGAGAUGAGGAAAUUGGGCUGGAUUAUUUGGGUAAUCACAAGGGUCCUUGUAUUAGUAUAUAUAUUAUAUAAUUAUAUAUUUUAUAUAUUAUUACAAUAUAAUUAUAUCAUAUAUUAUAACACAAUAUGUAGUUACAUAGUUUAU